UCCUGCGUGGGAUCUGGAGUGGGCGAGUCUCGUUUCCCCAGCUCCAGAGCAGGA
RNAcentral lists this microRNA precursor (54 nucleotides) under Callithrix jacchus (white-tufted-ear marmoset). Its description in RNAcentral is "mir-3193 microRNA precursor family". It matches the Rfam family "mir-3193 microRNA precursor family". Lineage: Eukaryota; Metazoa; Chordata; Mammalia; Primates; Cebidae. The record is from Rfam by way of RNAcentral.